This 301-nucleotide ribosomal RNA is filed under the name uncultured bacterium. Its description in RNAcentral is "partial 16S ribosomal RNA". It matches the Rfam family "Bacterial small subunit ribosomal RNA", at positions 509 to 807 of the family's 1533-position model. The record is from RNAcentral.
CAGUAGCCACGGGAAUACAGAGGGUGCGAACGUUGCUCGGAAUUACUGGGCGUAAAGCGCGUGUAGGCGGGUCGGCAAGUCAGGCGUGAAAUCCCCAGGCUCAACCUGGGAACUGCGCUUGAAACUGCCGGUCUUGAGUAUCGGAGAGGGUGGCGGAAUUCCUGGUGUAGAGGUGAAAUUCGUAGAUAUCAGGAGGAACACCGGUGGCGAAGGCGGCCACCUGGACGAUAACUGACGCUGAGACGCGAAAGCGUGGGGAGCAAACAGGAUUAGAUACCCCCGUAGUCCCUGUCUCUUAUAC